ACGUAGCAGAUUUUUUUGAUAGUCGUAAUUAAAUAUUUUGGAUAAAUUUAAUUUUUGAAUGAAACACUUCCUUCUCGUUCAUUGCAUUAUCUGUUGCAUUUCAAAUGCAAAUAUUUAUGUUUAUCUGUUGUAGGGUUGCCAUACAACAAGUAUUAUUCGAAAUUGUAGGUAUUUUGGCUGUCAUUCCAGAAAAACUUUGUAUUAUUUUGAUAUAGUUUAGGUAUUGAUUUUUGGAAAAUAUAAUAUUUUAGAAACAUGAUAACAAAUGUUAUCAUAGGUUUUUUAAGGCUGUUCUGGAAUGACAUUUGUUGGGUUUUGUUUACUUCGAGGUCUGAUAUAGAAACUGGAGUAAUUUUCAUUUAAUUAAUUAGAGAUUUUUAUUGUUUAUUCGUUUGCCACCCGGCUUUUGUUUUGGGUCCUUUAAAUUCGAGAUCAUUCAGUGCGGCGUUCUUUUUGUAACGAGAUCCUCUUGCAUAGUGAUCGGACGGCCGUAUAAGGGCCUGGAGCCCGGCAUGCCACGUGCUGCCGUGGCGUUCCAUAUUUUGUGUGGUGCGUUGCGUCAGUCUGACUGGCAGAAACAUGCUAAGGGUGGGAGUGCUCCGUGGAGAUCCUCGGUCUGCAGUCUGCAGGUCUCCGGAGUCGGGCAGAAGUAAAGAAUUAAAGAAGUAAAAGCUUUUAACAAUUUUGAUGUGCAAGGAAACUUCUUUGGCUUACUGGCGCAAGGUGUCUUUGGACCUUGUUUUCGUAUGGAAGGGUCAGCCCUGUCCACGUGGCGAGGGGGCGACAGCACCGGAGUCCGGGGAGCAGCCGGCUCAUCCCUGACAAGGUGUGUCUCCUGCCCGUUUCCUGCCGGUAGUGCUGUGUAAUUCAGGUUUUAAUUUCUGUGUAAAGUAAUUUCUGAUUUCAUUUAUUUUGAGAAUUCUGGUGCAUAACUUUAGGUAAAUUCCUAUUUAGUUUUGUAGAAUAAAUGGUUGUAAGAAACCUUUUCCUGGACCCUCUUAAAGCGGCCCAGCUUUACCACUGAGCGUCGUUCAUAUUUUUAUAUGGUGUCGAAUUUAGUAUAACUCACUAAUUUCUGUUUAGGCAAGAAUUAAUAUAUAUUUAAUAAAGUUAUAAAAUGU
This 1121-nucleotide long non-coding RNA is filed under the name Leguminivora glycinivorella. RNAcentral describes it as "uncharacterized LOC125242539". The record is from RNAcentral. Lineage: Eukaryota; Metazoa; Arthropoda; Insecta; Lepidoptera; Tortricidae.